AGAGUUUGAUCAUGGCUCAGAUUGAACGCUGGCGGCAGGCCUAACACAUGCAAGUCGAGCGGUAGAGAGAAGCUUGCUUCUCUUGAGAGCGGCGGACGGGUGAGUAAUGCCUAGGAAUCUGCCUGGUAGUGGGGGAUAACGUCCGGAAACGGACGCUAAUACCGCAUACGUCCUACGGGAGAAAGCAGGGGACCUUCGGGCCUUGCGCUAUCAGAUGAGCCUAGGUCGGAUUAGCUAGUUGGUGGGGUAAUGGCUCACCAAGGCGACGAUCCGUAACUGGUCUGAGAGGAUGAUCAGUCACACUGGAACUGAGACACGGUCCAGACUCCUACGGGGGGCAGCAGUGGGGAAUAUUGGACAAUGGGCGAAAGCCUGAUCCAGCCAUGCCGCGUGUGUGAAGAAGGUCUUCGGAUUGUAAAGCACUUUAAGUUGGGAGGAAGGGCAGUAAAUUAAUACUUUGCUGUUUUGACGUUACCGACAGAAUAAGCACCGGCUAACUCUGUGCCAGCAGCCGCGGUAAUACAGAGGGUGCAAGCGUUAAUCGGAAUUACUGGGCGUAAAGCGCGCGUAGGUGGUUCGUUAAGUUGGAUGUGAAAUCCCCGGGCUCAACCUGGGAACUGCAUUCAAAACUGACGAGCUAGAGUAUGGUAGAGGGUGGUGGAAUUUCCUGUGUAGCGGUGAAAUGCGUAGAUAUAGGAAGGAACACCAGUGGCGAAGGCGACCACCUGGACUGAUACUGACACUGAGGUGCGAAAGCGUGGGGAGCAAACAGGAUUAGAUACCCCGGUAGUCCAA
Molecule: ribosomal RNA, 795 nt
Filed under: uncultured bacterium
Lineage: Bacteria
Description: bacterial SSU rRNA
Rfam family: Bacterial small subunit ribosomal RNA
Source: RNAcentral